UGGGGAAUAUUGGACAAUGGGCGCAAGCCUGAUCCAGCCAUGCCGCGUGAGUGACGAAGGUCUUCGGAUUGUAAAGCUCUUUUGGCGGGGACGAUAAUGACGGUACCCGCAGAAUAAGCCCCGGCUAACUUCGUGCCAGCAGCCGCGGUAAUACGAAGGGGGCUAGCGUUGUUCGGAAUUACUGGGCGUAAAGCGCACGUAGGCGGAUUUGUUAGUCAGGGGUGAAAUCCCGGGGCUCAACCUCGGAACUGCCUUUGAUACUGCAAGUCUCGAGUCCGGAAGAGGUGAGUGGAAUUCCUAGUGUAGAGGUGAAAUUCGUAGAUAUUAGGAAGAACACCAGUGGCGAAGGCGGCUCACUGGUCCGGUACUGACGCUGAGGUGCGAAAGCGUGGGGAGCAAACAGGAUUAGAUACCCGGGUAGUCC
RNAcentral lists this ribosomal RNA (424 nucleotides) under uncultured bacterium. RNAcentral's name for it is "bacterial SSU rRNA". It matches the Rfam family "Bacterial small subunit ribosomal RNA", at positions 355 to 796 of the family's 1533-position model. The record is from RNAcentral.